This is a long non-coding RNA of Oncorhynchus tshawytscha (Chinook salmon), 694 nucleotides long. RefSeq lists it as uncharacterized. The transcript has 3 exons. Lineage: Eukaryota; Metazoa; Chordata; Actinopteri; Salmoniformes; Salmonidae. The record is from RefSeq and is a predicted model, not a curated record.
UGAUAACAGAAUAGAAUGUCCUUGAGACCAAAUAUGUUGGAAAAUGAAGGUAGUUCACUCAGGCCAUUUUUUAAAUGUUUUGUUGAACCUUUAUUUAACUACGCAAGUCAGUUAAGAACAAACACUAAUUUUACAAUGACUGCCAAACCCGGACGACACUGGGCUAAUUGUGCGACGGUCUAUGGGACUCCCAAUCACGGCCGGUUGUGAUACAGCCUGUCCCAUAGGUAAUCCGUUGUUCUUGACUUCCAUUGAGCCAGAAAACAUUAGCGGGUGGGAUGUUUCACUUCCUCUUCCGUCUCUGCUUGAGACUCCAGAUUGCUGAGUCACAACGACAAGCCAGAAAUACAGCCAGUGCAUAGCCUGAGUCGGUCCACAUAGAACAAACUUGAGGUUAUGACAGGAAUAAGUGGGAAGGAGGGAGAGAUAUAGGAACAUGUUUAGACUUUAUCCAACAACAAAAAAAUAUAUACAAGUCAGAAGUUUACCUACAUUUUAGCUAAAUACUUUUAAUCAGUUUCCCAAUUCCUGCCAUUUAAUCCAAGUAAAAAUUACCGGUCUUAGGUCACCACUAUUUUAAUGUGAAAUGUCAGAAUAGUGAUUUCAGCUCAUUCCGUUGGUCUGAAGUUCAUACACAAAUAGUAUUUUGUAGCAAUGCCUUUUAAUUGUUUAACUUCAGUAAAACUUCAGGCAG